RNAcentral lists this ribosomal RNA (207 nucleotides) under uncultured bacterium. RNAcentral's name for it is "partial 16S ribosomal RNA". It matches the Rfam family "Bacterial small subunit ribosomal RNA", at positions 568 to 774 of the family's 1533-position model. The record is from RNAcentral.
CACGUAGGCGGACUUAUAAGUCAGGGGUGAAAUCCCGGGGCUCAACCUCGGAACUGCCUUUGAUACUGUAAGUCUCGAGUCCGGAAGAGGUGAGUGGAAUUCCUAGUGUAGAGGUGAAAUUCGUAGAUAUUAGGAAGAACACCAGUGGCGAAGGCGGCUCACUGGUCCGGUACUGACGCUGAGGUGCGAAAGCGUGGGGAGCAAACA